CCUACGGGAGGCUGCAGUGGGGAAUAUUGGACAAUGGGGGGAACCCUGAUCCAGCCAUGCCGCGUGUGUGAAGAAGGCCCUCGGGUUGUAAAGCACUUUCAGUGAGGAAGAACGCCUGGUGGUUAAUACCCAUCAGGAAAGACAUCACUCACAGAAGAAGCACCGGCUAACUCCGUGCCAGCAGCCGCGGUAAUACGGAGGGUGCGAGCGUUAAUCGGAAUUACUGGGCGUAAAGCGCGCGUAGGUGGCUUGAUAAGCCGGUUGUGAAAGCCCCGGGCUCAACCUGGGAACGGCAUCCGGAACUGUCAAGCUAGAGUGCAGGAGAGGAAGGUAGAAUUCCCGGUGUAGCGGUGAAAUGCGUAGAGACCGGGAGGAAUACCAGUGGCGAAGGCGGCCUUCUGGACUGACACUGACACUGAGGUGCGAAAGCGUGGGUAGCAAACAGGAUUAGAUACCCUAGUAGUC
RNAcentral lists this ribosomal RNA (465 nucleotides) under Vreelandella stevensii. RNAcentral describes it as "partial 16S ribosomal RNA". It matches the Rfam family "Bacterial small subunit ribosomal RNA", at positions 338 to 795 of the family's 1533-position model. The record is from RNAcentral. Lineage: Bacteria; Pseudomonadati; Pseudomonadota; Gammaproteobacteria; Oceanospirillales; Halomonadaceae.